Long non-coding RNA from Rosa rugosa (rugosa rose), 1463 nucleotides. RefSeq lists it as uncharacterized. The record is from RefSeq and is a predicted model, not a curated record. NCBI's taxonomy places the organism in Eukaryota, Viridiplantae, Streptophyta, Magnoliopsida, Rosales, Rosaceae. The transcript is spliced from 9 exons.
UUCCCCCCAACACUUAGUCGCUUUGUCUGAAACUUUCGAAACCUAAUUGAUAGACUCAGUGUUGACUGCCUCCUUCUUCGCAUCCCCGACCUUAGCUCCUUCUCCAACCUGCGCUCGUUCUCCGGGUUCAGCUUUUUCUUUCUCGUUCUUCCCUGAAACCCUAGCGUUCUCCUCCUUCCUCUCCUGCUCUCUUUCCACAGCUACUGUCUCUUCCUUAUUGAACUACUGCCUCCGAUCCCUCACCGGCGCCAUCGCCUCUACCUAUACUUCUCGUCCAACGCCACCACGUCGUUGCUCCUAGAUCCGAACCCCAACUGGUCCAACCGGCCUCCAAGGAGUCUAUCCUCCUCGAUUGGUGCGACUUCGAGCACCAAAUGCCAGCGACGGAGGAACUGAACACAACCGCAAUGACGACGGCGCGACCGGCAUCAGAUUCCGGGUUCUUCUUGCUAUCUCUCCGUCUCUACCCAUAUUUCUUCUGCAUAAAGAUAAAAUCGCAGAAUUGCAGCAGCCAUGGCCACUGCGCUGCCCUUGGAUCCUCCAAAGAUCGACUCAGAAGCCGCUUACACGGAGCCAAAACCUAACCCUAAUCCUUCAAAUUUUGGUUGAGAAAUGUCAGAAAGGGAAAACCAAGAAGCAAAUAAAUUUGAAUAAUGAUUUUUCGUAUUUGAUGAGCUGCAGAGUUUGUUUGAUAAUCUGGGUAGUUCUAUUUUUGUAUGAUUGAGCUGAUUUUGAGGUUUCUUGUUGUUGUAGUUGAUAAUUGGUGGAGAAAUGUCAGAGAGGGAAAACCAAGAAGCAAAUCAAUUUAGGGAGAGAUGGUUUGACUCACAAUAUGUUGAAUGAUAUUCAUAACCAUUGGAAACAUGAAGAAGCAGUGAGGAUAAAAUGUCAAGAUCAGCGCCUCAAUGAUAUUGUUGGUAGUGCAUACUAUGUUGCACCUAAAGUGCUACAUAGAUCCUACAGUGUUGAAGCAGAUAUGUGGAGCAUAGGGUGUCCCAGAAGCCAAAGAUUUUGUUGAGAGGCUUCUGAACAAGGAUCACAGAAAAAGAAUGACUGCUGCUCAAGCUUUAAGCCACCCAUGGCUAAGGGAUGAAAGACAAGCUGUGCCUUUAGAUUUAGUAAUCCACAAGUUGGUUAAGUCAUAUGUUCGUGCCACACCUUUCAGGCGUGCAGCAAUGAAGGCUCUUUCCAAGGCUAUGACAGAAGAUGAGCUCUACUAUCUUAGGGCUCAGUUUACGCUCUUGGAACCCAAACAUGGACACGUAUCCCUCGAUAAUUUCAGAACGUGGCACGCAGAUUAAGACCCGCAAACGGAAUAUUGCAGUGCCGCUGGACCCUGCAGCUUUUGCAGAUGCAAUGGUCCAGAUUUUAUCUGGAUAAUGCUGGUGAUCUGGAACUUAUUGCCAAGAGCAUUGAAUCUUCAGACCUUAACUUCUCAAGAUACGGUGACAUCUUUUUUUAGG